AUAAUUAUGAGUAUAAUCUGCUCAAUGUUAAAUAUCAAUAGCCGCAGAAUUUUAACUGUGCUAAGGUAGCAUAAUCAUUUACCUUUUAAUUGAAGGUUUGCAUGAAAGAUUAAACAUUUAAUAUUUUUUUUAUAUUAAUAUAUCUAAAUUAAACUAUAAAUAAAAAUGUUUAUAUCUCUAAAAUAGACGACAAGACCCUAUUGAACUUUACUAAAGUUUAGCUGGGGAAGCUAAUUAAAUACUAUUUUAAUUCAACUCAUAACAAAGGCACCUGAUUAAAUCAAAUUAUUAAGUUACCAUAGGGAUAACAGCGUAAUAUAUUUCUAAAGCUCUUAUUGAAAAAUAAGAUUACGACCUCGAUGUUGAAUUAAGAUAACUUUUUAACGCAGUAGCGCCAAAAGUGGGUCUGU
RNAcentral lists this ribosomal RNA (410 nucleotides) under Floronia bucculenta. RNAcentral describes it as "partial 16S ribosomal RNA". It matches the Rfam family "Bacterial large subunit ribosomal RNA", at positions 1842 to 2580 of the family's 2925-position model. Lineage: Eukaryota; Metazoa; Arthropoda; Arachnida; Araneae; Linyphiidae. The record is from RNAcentral.